UUUUUGGUAGCUGAUUGGAUUCUUUCUUCAUUCUUUGCCAUGAAAUAAUAUAAAAAAGAAGUUCUAACUUGGAAAAAGGUUGCAGUACAGUUUAGCGGAAUACAUUCUAAAAACAUGCCUGGGAUCAAGUUGCCUGCACAAAAUAUACAUUGAGGACCUUAUCACACAAACCUGCUAUUUUGCUAUGGUUGUGUUGAUAUAAGACGGAUAUCAUGUUAAGCACUCUCAAUAGUGCUCUUUAAUAGUACAGUUGUGCUGAUUUGCCAAUUCAUGCUAUUACACCCUUGUAGCUCUACCAUUCCACACUACUGUUGUUCUUUAUUUUUUUAGGACAAAAAGGUAAAUAUAAAUAGAAAAGAAAAACAGCCAUCUUGGGAAUAAUGAGAAGGAGGGGCAAAGAGGGAAAGCAAGAUAAUCCCAUCUUCUGUUGUCACUUUACUGCUGGCAUGCUGCCAUAGAAGCGGAAGGGAUCUUUCACAUCAAGUAGCAAAAGAUCCAGAGGCUACCAUACCAACGUACUGGCCUCUGCAUGGUCCAGGAUUUUCUUGCUAAAAAUGAAUACUGGAACUAACUAUGACAACACUGUAAAAAAAUUAAAGUUGUUUUGGGGAGCAUUAAUUCCAAGAUUAUCUUUGCCAGUUGGGAGAUUCUGGGAAUUGUCAAACAAAAGGGAUUGGAACCAAUGGUUGGAAAUGGCAAGAAAACAGAUAUCGGUAAGACACUAGAAGAAACACUCUCAUGCUACAAGCAGUUUGAAAAGAGACCAUGUGCCUGUUUGAUAGUAGCGGGGCUCUCCUUCUCUGAAGGUAUUGUAUCCAAAGCUGGAUAAAUUAGACACCUGUGUGAGGGAUGUUGUAUCUGUAUCGUUAACUGAACUGAACAGGAGCUUGUCCUCACUGACAUGUAGGGCAUGCAUCUAAAAUUGAAUUUAUCCUCAAUUUGCAAGAACUUGCUAAAAUUCAUCCAUUUCCUCAUAUUCAGGAAGGAAAGAACUCAAGGUUUAAUAAUUCAGAAAGUACGGGAAUGCAACAUUUCCCCACCGGUAGAUCUUUUGACUAUAGAAUGAUAAAGAGUAACUAUAAAGAAUAAAUCAAUAAUAUUUGAAGCUAUCAUUCCAAUAGCCUGGAGGCUGGCAGGGUAUAGGAGUCUGAAAGUUGUAGUCCAAAAAGAUAGUUUCCUGAAACUCUGUAGAUUUGUAUUGUUAAAUGAACAUUGCCAUGCAAGGGCUGGAAUAGCCAAGCCUGCCAAGCCCUCCCUCCCCUUUAAUGCAAUUAUCAAAAAUCAGAUAGACUGGGCCUAUUUGUGCUUAGUCACCCUAAGAAAACUUUAGUAAAGAAAAAAUGUCUGAGGCUAAAAUAUUUUGGUUGUGGUUAUUGUUGUUACAAUAAGCCAACUGCUGCUUUUAAUGUAAUGGCCCCUUUGUGUAUGUGUCCCUGAUGUAUGAUGUGCUAAACAUGGCACAUUAUUUCACAGAGAACGUAAAGUUCUUUGAACAAAACACAAAGCACACAGCACCCGACUCAGAGGACAACAGACUCAACCUGAAAUGCCUGAUGUUUACCAGAAAUGGACUAAAGCAGGAAAAAUAAAUGAAUGUGUGGGUGGGGGGAACAGCAGGGAGCAGCAGAUAAAUCAGCCCCUAGUGUGAUACCUCUGUUCUAAUAUGUGUCUUUUUGAAAGAACAGGACACGUCAGUUAACCCAGUAGGUGGACUGAGGACAAUCAUGAAGCCAGCACCAUCUAAUAGAUGGGAUGGGGGAGAGAGAUGAUUCUGUAUGUUGCCCUCUUUUCCUCACGCUGUGAUGAGGUGCCUGUGCUCAAGUGCUUAACUGGAUAUUUCUGAGAUAAGUAACUCUAAAUUGUGAUUUCACCAAACAUUGCCCUGUCCUCUUCUUAUGACAGUAUGGAAAGCUAUUCUGGCAUUUAUCACACAAAACUGCUAUUCCAUGGUAAUCAGGCGAUCAUUGAUGCCAGGAUGAGCACUCUCGCUAUUAAACAUUUCUGCAUUUGCACAAUUGGUUAUACAUCUGUAUAAUCUUAUAGCUCUGUCGUUCUGCACAUCCCCUGCUCUGUACCUUUUUUAAAUAAAAAGUUUGUUUUAAGCGAUUUGAAAUGCCAGCUAAUGUUUUUGUUUUUAAAAAAAAACAAAUAAAAAUUUAAAUCUCAAAAUUUACUUCCUCAGGAAUAGUGAUGGGGGAGAGGAAGAGAGAAAAAAAUUCCCACCUCCUGAGCUCGUUUCAGUGCCGGCUCACCCACACAAAGGCAGAACACCCCCAUUGUACAAGAUAGGUGAUGGGAACAUAGUAUGAACUGCAGCCAUUGAUAAUGAGUUUUUUAGUCAAUAGCAGGAGGGUAGGUUUAUUACGAUAAGGAGCAGACAAUGUGAUGCACAUCAUGUGACAGGGAUUUAAUUCCAGUUUGCUUCCUUUGUGCAGUAAAGUUCUUCUCUCCAAUAACAUGAUCUGCAUGGAGCCAUGUGGUAUAGUGAUUGACCUGGGACCCCGGUGGCACAGUGUGUUAAAGCGCUGAGCCGUUGGGCUAUGAUUCUGGAGCACAGGCUUCACAUUCUGACUCAAGCACGGAAACCCAUUGUGUGCACUUGAGAAAGUCACAUACUCUUAUCUUCAGAGACCCUGUUAUAAGUUCACUAUAAACCAAAAAUGACUUGCAGGCAUACAGUAAUAAAGUUGAUUUGUACUUGUUCUUGGGCAGUCAAAAAUGAAGUUUGGCACUCAGCAUAAGAGUGGAACCAUGCCCUUCAGACAGUCCCAAAAUAUAGUCAGCUAAAUUGACCCAUUAGCCGAGUUCCUACAUCAAACAGGUCGAGCAUAACAUUCCACUUGUAUCAUUUUGUGUCUUGCUUUGCAGUGAUCGUAAAACUCUCAGGACCCUUCUACACUGCCCCUAUAUUACAGGAUAUGAUCCCAGAUUAUCUGUUUAGCCCAGGUUAUCUGGCAGUGUUCACUCAUAUAAUCUGAUUUUAAAAAGAUAGUAGCCCCUGGUGGCACAGUGGAUUAAACCCUUGUGCUGGCAGGACUGCUGACUUGAAGGCUGGGUUGCUUACCUGAAGGUUGCCAGUUCGAAUCCAACCCAGGGAGAGUGUGGAUGAGCUCCAUCUGUCAGCUCCAGCUCCAUGCAGGGACAUGAGAGAAGCCUCCCAGAAGGAAGGUAAAAUCAUCAAAACAUCUGGGCAUCCCCUGAGCAAUGUCCUUGCAGACAGCCAAUUCUCUCACACCAGAAGUGACUUGCAGUUUUUCAAGUCGCUCCUGACACGAAAAAAAAUUAAAAUAGAUAAUCUGGAAUCAGUUCCUGGGAUAUAGGACAGUGUACAAGUGGCCUUAGAUGCAGAAGGAGCAGCUGGUCUCUGCUUCUUUAGGCCAUGUAAACAUUGCCAAGUCCAAGAUAGCCUUCAGUGAUGUGCCUUGCCUUACCAAUAGCUGCCUGGUCAUUGCCCAAUAUAGGUUAUCGGGCAAAGCCUGAUUCCACAGAAAGAUUUUAACUUGUGUUUAUUGUGAUGUCUCAUGGGCCUUGUAGUCCCGUUCCUAGUGCUAUUGUGGCAGAUGAGGAGGAAAACAUGGGAUUUCCACUGGUUCAGCUUGAAUCGGAGCCUCGCCACCUGGAAGAUGUUUGUCCUCAGGAAGUUAACCAAACAAGCCUUGGGCAGAAUUCUCCCCCGUUUUCCCGAAAGGACAAUUAUAAUAGAGAUAGAGGAGUCAGGGAGGCUAAUCACCGGAGCCUCAGAAUCGCUGCCAGACAAUUAGCUGAUUAGGUCUGCUUCCUUUGGGAAAUUCUAAGGAGUCAUGCAUCUGGACAGAGUUGGGUUUCACUUCUUGUUCUCCAGGGAAAGUGUUCUGUUGGCGGGAAAACGAGACCCAAUAUAGGGGUUUUGCCGCAAGGGGAACCUUGCGGAGUCAAUUGUUCAGCUUGAGGAGAGAGAUCGUGUGUGGACUUCGUAUUCCUUGUUCCCUGCUUCCCGGAUCUAGUUUCAAGUCUUGCCUUGCUUCACGUUUGCCACGGACCUUGUUUCAUGCUUCAAGUUGUCCCGUUCCAAGUCCUUGAUUCAGCCAAGUACCAAGCCUAUGAUCCAGCCUUGUUGUCAAGCUUCAAUGGACUAAAGACCUUGUCAUCUCCCCACACUAUUGCUUGGCAAAGCGUGUGUUUCGGCUAAUGGAUUAUAACUUUGAACUCUAAUAUUUUAUAUUGGACAUUAUUUUCCUGGACUAUAUUUGGCCUUUCCUGAAAGGUCUGCUUCUGAACUUUAUUCUUCACUUGUUUUUAUUGACUUUAUAUAUUUCUUAAAUAAAGAUAUUAGAUAGUU
Molecule: long non-coding RNA, 4318 nt
Organism: Anolis carolinensis (green anole)
Lineage: Eukaryota; Metazoa; Chordata; Lepidosauria; Squamata; Anolidae
Exons: 3
Source: RefSeq, a predicted model, not a curated record